CCGCCCAAUGGGACAGAUGUUCGAGGCCAUGGCCAUGAGUUGAGCGUGAAAAUGAUUGACUUGCACGUCCACAAUGGUCCAAGAGAAAAGGGAAAUCAAAAGCGAGAAAAACGAUGGCCUAGCCUGGUGGACCUAAUUUGAGAUGUCGAGUUUGUAAGAACUUUUCAAAGGACUGCUAUUGAUAAAACCAAACGAUAUUUGGAACUAAACCUAGAAGCAUUUUUUUAUGAAAUAGGAGGGGCAAGGCCCAAUCUAAAAGCAUCUUCAUAUUUUGCGAGUGUUUUCUAAAAUGACUGAAGGUUAU
This 304-nucleotide long non-coding RNA is filed under the name Setaria viridis. RNAcentral describes it as "long non-coding RNA (SVIR_LNC005683)". Lineage: Eukaryota; Viridiplantae; Streptophyta; Magnoliopsida; Poales; Poaceae. The record is from RNAcentral.